GGCCUGGUGGUGUAGCUGGUAGUGCGCUGCCUAAUACGAUCCUCGUAUGGCGGAGGGUCCUUGUUCGACUCAAGGUCAGGCCU
Mycena vitilis is the source of this 83-nucleotide non-coding RNA. Lineage: Eukaryota; Fungi; Basidiomycota; Agaricomycetes; Agaricales; Mycenaceae. The record is from the annotation of a GenBank genome assembly.